ACAUUACGUUCGAAGGAUCGAUUGGCUUUGGUGACGAUGAAGAACGUUGCAGAUUGCGAUAUUGAGUGAGAAUAGCGUUAUUCAGCUCGUGUUCGAAUUAUAGAUGAUAUCUAUGAUAACUCCU
This 124-nucleotide ribosomal RNA is filed under the name Conglomerata obtusa. RNAcentral's name for it is "partial large subunit ribosomal RNA". The record is from RNAcentral. Lineage: Eukaryota; Fungi; Microsporidia.